GUUUUUAUAGUUGAAUACAACAUUGAUUUUUCAGGUCAAAAGUCUUGGUUAGAGGCCAAGUAAGAAUA
RNAcentral lists this transfer RNA (68 nucleotides) under Lissotriton vulgaris (common newt). Its description in RNAcentral is "tRNA-Glu". It matches the Rfam family "tRNA". Rfam says of the family: Transfer RNA (tRNA) molecules are approximately 80 nucleotides in length. Their secondary structure includes four short double-helical elements and three loops (D, anti-codon, and T loops). Lineage: Eukaryota; Metazoa; Chordata; Amphibia; Caudata; Salamandridae. The record is from RNAcentral.